GACGAACGCUGGCGGCGUGCUUAACACAUGCGAGUCGAACGGAAAGGCCCUGCUUUUGUGGGGUGCUCGAGUGGCGAACGGGUGAGUAACACGUGAGUAACCUGCCCUUGACUUUGGGAUAACUUCAGGAAACUGGGGCUAAUACCGGAUAGGAGCUCCUGCUGCAUGGUGGGGGUUGGAAAGUUUCGGCGGUUGGGGAUGGACUCGCGGCUUAUCGGCUUGUUGGUGGGGUAGUGGCUUACCAAGGCUUUGCCGGGUAGCCGGCCUGGGAGGGUGGCCGGCCACAUUGGGACUGAGAUACGGCCCAGACUCCUACGGGAGGCAGCAGUGGGGAAUAUAGCACAAUGGGCGGAAGCCUGAUGCAGCAACGCCGCGUGCGGGAUGACGGCCUUCGGGUUGUAAACCGCUUUCGCCUGUGACGAAGCGUGAGUGACGGUAAUGGGUAAAGAAGCACCGGCUAACUACGUG
RNAcentral lists this ribosomal RNA (468 nucleotides) under uncultured bacterium. RNAcentral's name for it is "partial 16S ribosomal RNA". It matches the Rfam family "Bacterial small subunit ribosomal RNA", at positions 28 to 507 of the family's 1533-position model. The record is from RNAcentral.